This 468-nucleotide ribosomal RNA is filed under the name uncultured bacterium. RNAcentral's name for it is "bacterial SSU rRNA". It matches the Rfam family "Bacterial small subunit ribosomal RNA", at positions 29 to 526 of the family's 1533-position model. The record is from RNAcentral.
AGCGAACGCUGGCGGCAGGCUUAACACAUGCAAGUCGAACGGGCACUUCGGUGCUAGUGGCAGACGGGUGAGUAACGCGUGGGAACGUACCUUUCGGUUCGGAAUAAUUCAGGGAAACUUGGACUAAUACCGGAUACGCCCGGGUCCUUUGGUUAGGAUUUGGGGAAAGAUUUAUCGCCGAUAGAUCGGCCCGCGUCUGAUUAGCUAGUUGGUGAGGUAAUGGCUCACCAAGGCGACGAUCAGUAGCUGGUCUGAGAGGAUGAUCAGCCACAUUGGGACUGAGACACGGCCCAAACUCCUACGGGAGGCAGCAGUGGGGAAUAUUGGACAAUGGGCGAAAGCCUGAUCCAGCCAUGCCGCGUGUGUGAUGAAGGCCUUAGGGUUGUAAAGCACUUUUGUCCGGGAAGAUAAUGACUGUACCGGAAGAAUAAGCCCCGGCUAACUUCGUGCCAGCCGCCGCAGUAAAAC